This 511-nucleotide ribosomal RNA is filed under the name uncultured bacterium. RNAcentral describes it as "bacterial SSU rRNA". It matches the Rfam family "Bacterial small subunit ribosomal RNA", at positions 32 to 590 of the family's 1533-position model. The record is from RNAcentral.
AACGCUGGCGGCAGGCUUAACACAUGCAAGUCGAGCGCCCCGCAAGGGGAGCGGCAGACGGGUGAGUAACGCGUGGGAAUCUACCCAUCCCUACGGAAUAACGCAUGGAAACGUGUGCUAAUACCGUAUACGCCCUUAGGGGGAAAGAUUUAUCGGGGAUGGAUGAGCCCGCGUUGGAUUAGCUAGUUGGUGGGGUAAAGGCCUACCAAGGCGACGAUCCAUAGCUGGUCUGGGAGGAUGAUCAGCCACAUUGGGACUGAGACACGGCCCAAACUCCUACGGGAGGCAGCAGUGGGGAAUAUUGGACAAUGGGCGCAAGCCUGAUCCAGCCAUGCCGCGUGAGUGAUGAAGGCCUUAGGGUUGUAAAGCUCUUUCACCGAUGAAGAUAAUGACGGUAGUCGGAGAAGAAGCCCCGGCUAACUUCGUGCCAGCAGCCGCGGUAAUACGAGGGGGGCUAGCGUUGUUCGGAAUUACUGGGCGUAAAGCGCAUGUAGGCGGGAUAUUUAAGUCA